GCUUUCGUGGUGUAGUGGUCAACACUCUGGACGCGUAUUUCAGAGGUCAGUGGUUAGAGUCCCGGUGAAGGCU
RNAcentral lists this transfer RNA (73 nucleotides) under Stegodyphus mimosarum. It matches the Rfam family "tRNA". Rfam says of the family: Transfer RNA (tRNA) molecules are approximately 80 nucleotides in length. Their secondary structure includes four short double-helical elements and three loops (D, anti-codon, and T loops). Lineage: Eukaryota; Metazoa; Arthropoda; Arachnida; Araneae; Eresidae. The record is from Rfam by way of RNAcentral.